This is a non-coding RNA of Salmo salar (Atlantic salmon), 1244 nucleotides long. Lineage: Eukaryota; Metazoa; Chordata; Actinopteri; Salmoniformes; Salmonidae. The record is from RefSeq and is a predicted model, not a curated record.
GGAGAUGAUCGUGGACUUCAGGAAACAGCAGAGGGAGCACCUCCCCAUCCACGGGACAGUAGUGGAGAAGGUGGAAAGUUAAGUUCUUCGGUGUACACAUCACGGACAAACUGAAAUGGUCCACCCACACAGACAGUGUGGUGAAGAAGGUGCAACAGCGCCUCUUCAACCUCAGGAGACUGAAGAAAUGUGGCUUGUCAUCUAAAACACUCAAACUUUUACAGAUGCACAAUUGAGAGCAUCCUGCCGGGCUCUAUCACCGCGUGGUACAGCAAUUGCACCGCCCACAACCGCAAGGCUCUCCAGAGGGUAGUGCGGUCUGCACAACGCAUCACCGGGGGCAAAUUACCUGCCCUCCAGGAGACCUACAGCACCUGAUGUCACAGAAAGGCCAAAAAGAUCAUCAAGGACAACAACCACCUGAGCCACUGCCACAGAAGGCGAGGUGCACUAUCCUCCUGACCCUAUGCAGCUGUGACAGGUGUCAACAUCCCACAGCUGGUUGGACUGGAGGAUGAUAUGGUGCUGGUGGAAAGCUGAGGCUGGCAACAACACCUGACUCCGUACUUCAGGCCGCUGCCACAGAUCAAGCAGUACCAGCACUUCAGGAGCGUUCGAACUCAGUCGGGACCAGGUUUCAGCUGCUGCGCAAUGAUGACAUCCAUCCUCCCAUAUAUGGUCUGCCUGUACAAACACCACCAGGACUGAACACAGCUAGACAAACAUAUAUUUUUGAGAAGAUCAGGGAGUUUUGCGACGAAGAGGCUAUGGACAUCACAUGCCCUGCACCAAAGUCAAGGGCAGGACAGAAACAGGCUCUCCGAAUAUAGAUUCCCUUGUUCAUGUGUGGUUUGGACGGACCAGUCAUCAGCACUAUCUGCAAUGCCUCUAUUCAAAUGACUCUCUCCUAACACACAUGCCAUACGUUCCUGCUACUAUUUCUUGUUUUAUUCCUGCUGUUCAGCCACUUUACCACUGAUUGUAUGCAUACAAUUACCUCGUCUAUCACUGAUAUCAUUAUUCAUAUUGUUCUUGUACAUACUGUAUAUUAUUUUACUUAUAUUGACACUAUUUCUGAUAUUGCUACUAUACAAGUAACCAUUUGGCUGUACCGUUUACACCUUCUGUAGAGACCCAUCCACUUAGCAAGAUGUGGCCAGUUGUGUAAAGUACUAAAGUAAAAAUACUUAAUGUUUUGGGGAGGGUAUCUGUACUUUACCAUUUAUAUUUGUUGCAACGUUUAC